AAUAUUGCACAAUGGGCGAAAGCCUGAUGCAGCGACGCCGCGUGAGGGAUGACGGCCUUCGGGUUGUAAACCUCUUUCAGUAGGGAAGAAGCGAAAGUGACGGUACCUGCAGAAGAAGCACCGGCUAACUACGUGCCAGCAGCCGCGGUAAUACGUAGGGUGCGAGCGUUAUCCGGAAUUAUUGGGCGUAAAGAGCUCGUAGGCGGUUUGUCGCGUCUGUCGUGAAAGUCCGGGGCUUAACCCCGGAUCUGCGGUGGGUACGGGCAGACUAGAGUGCAGUAGGGGAGACUGGAAUUCCUGGUGUAGCGGUGGAAUGCGCAGAUAUCAGGAGGAACACCGAUGGCGAAGGCAGGUCUCUGGGCUGUAACUGACGCUGAGGAGCGAAAGCAUGGGGAGCGAACAGGAUUAGAUACCCUGGUAGUCCAUGCCGUAAACGUUGGGCACUAGGUGUGGGGACCAUUCCACGGUUUCCGCGCCGCAGCUAACGCAUUAAGUGCCCCGCCUGGGGAGUACGGCCGCAAGGCUAAAACUCAAAUGAA
This 539-nucleotide ribosomal RNA is filed under the name uncultured bacterium. RNAcentral describes it as "bacterial SSU rRNA". It matches the Rfam family "Bacterial small subunit ribosomal RNA", at positions 360 to 909 of the family's 1533-position model. The record is from RNAcentral.